GAUCUACUCAAAAAUUUACAGUAUAGACUCCGUUAGUAAGAGCAGUUGAUACCUCACAAAGCUGAAUAAUAGAAGCAAUUCAACUUGGACAGACACCAAAAAUCAUCUUUUUGUGUCAUGCAGAGUUAAAGACAGGUAUCUCAAGCAACUACAUGCUAUCUGAAGCUUUGUCAGUCAACUACAUUCAAGCAAGUUUUUCCAGUUUUCUAUGACGUGAACUAAGUGCCGAAGCAUUUACCAACUCUGGAUAUGAUCUAUCUCGGGACUAAUAUAUUAUCAAGUAUGCACAAUCAACUACACUCGAGCACGUUUUUCCCAAUUAUCUACGACGUGAACUAAGUGCUGAAGCAUUUACCAACUCUAGAUAUGAUUUAUCUCAGGACUAUUUCCUUCUGCAAAUGCAUAAAGUAGGUUCCAAAGGACUGCAUCACCAACAAACAAAUUUUGCCAUUUUCUCCACCAAAAAACUUGUAAGUUAAAGCAAAAACAGUACCACUGUAUGUCCACAGCUUCUAUAUCCUGCUGGAACCCAUACAGGAAACUGGAAAUAUACAGAGCGUGGUCUAAUGAUGUGACAAGAGAAAAUAACUUCUUUUAUUUCUAGACCAUCACAUAAAUGGUUCUUUUCUUUUUAAUAAGAUCUAUUGAUGGGUAAGAGAGUGAGUAUAGCUUUUCCCUCUCAUAUCGGGUAGGGAGAUUCACAGAACUGCUAAAAUGGAAUUCCCCUUAUGUGACAUUUGAAUCAUCCUCGUGUGUCUUUAGCGACUAGUUUCUCAAAGCAAGCAGCUUGGUAGGCCAGCUAUCCUCAGCAAUGUAAGUUCAAGGUACUAGUUAAACGGAAUCAAGAUGAUAAAACUGCAUAAUCCUAGGGGAGCCAGAUUAUGCAGAUAACAUAUCAGAAAAGCUAAAAGCACAUAUGCACAAAUAGAAAAGCUCAUCUCUCUCUUUUUCCCCUUUGUUUCCUUUAGUAUUUCUGGUAGUUCUCAGCUUCAGGGUUUCAAAUCUCAUAUAUUGGCUUUUCAAAGUAUGGUCCAUUAAUAAAGAGAAGAUUUUACUACCUUACCUGCAAUUAAAGAUAUCUUAAAAUUAUUGCACCUUAACACACUCUAAACCUCAACAAAGAUUAAUACAAAAUCAGAUAUGACUAUAUCUAAUUUAGUGAAGAUGAGACCACGCCAGCUCAAUGCAGAAUUACCACUUGAACCCCAGAAUUUCCCAGAAGUAUGGGGGAAAUAACAAAGAUUUACAUGAUCCCUACAAUUCAUCAACUCAAAUAUUCCAACACUCAUUGGUGUAACCCUUAGAAAAUACCAGUAUCUAAUGAACACCAAGAAUGCAUAAAUCUAGCCAUUUUGCUCAUAAAACCAGAAACAAAACAACAAGACAAAUCCAAUUUCCAUUAACCAUAAUUCACCUAAUCAUAUUUCUUUCAUAUUUAAUUCAAACUUUUACCCAUCAGAGCUCCAAAGACAUAAACUUUACCAAUACUAAGAUUAGAAGUGACCCAAUUUAAAAAACCCCAAUUGGGUAUUCAAGAAAACAUGGGAAUUUGAAAAUUGAAAAAUAAAAUCACAUAAAGAGGAAACUUG
RNAcentral lists this long non-coding RNA (1589 nucleotides) under Nicotiana benthamiana. Its description in RNAcentral is "long non-coding RNA (NBEN_LNC018067)". The record is from RNAcentral. Lineage: Eukaryota; Viridiplantae; Streptophyta; Magnoliopsida; Solanales; Solanaceae.